Molecule: unclassified non-coding RNA, 329 nt
Filed under: soil metagenome
Description: partial contains 5.8S ribosomal RNA, internal transcribed spacer 2, and large subunit ribosomal RNA
Rfam family: 5.8S ribosomal RNA (bases 1-120)
Source: RNAcentral
GAUGAAGAACGAAGCGAAAUGCGAUAAUUAAUGUGAAUUGCAGAAUUUAGUGAAUCAUCGAAUCUUUGAACGCACAUUGCGCCCCUUGGUAUUCCGGGGGGCAUGCCUGUUCGAGCGUCAUUUCAACCCUCAAGCUCUGCUUGGUCUUGGGCCGCGCCGGCGACGGCGGGCCUCAAAAACAGUGGCGGCGCCAUCUGGUUCCUCAGCGUAGUAAUUCUUCUCGCUGUUGGGCCCGGGUGGCCGCUUGCCAGCAACCCCAAAUUUUCUAUGGUUGACCUCGGAUCAGGUAGGGAUACCCGCUGAACUUAAGCAUAUCAAUAAGCGGAGGA